Molecule: long non-coding RNA, 2227 nt
Organism: Canis lupus familiaris (dog)
Lineage: Eukaryota; Metazoa; Chordata; Mammalia; Carnivora; Canidae
Exons: 2
Source: RefSeq, a predicted model, not a curated record
UAUCCACAUCAGCAAGAACAAAAGUUAUUACAAUCUAAUGUAUAUGGAAAUACUAUUUUAAUAUUUAGAUAAAAUAAUUGUCUAAUAAGAACAUGCAGUGGGUAUUAAAAGGAUUUAGAACACCUCAGAAACUUGAAAAUAAUUUUUUCUAGCAUACUUUAGUGUCAUGAGUACUCCUCUGACAUUCUAGGCCUUCUUGUCCCAUUUUUUAAAGAUGUAUUUAUUUAUUUUAGAGCGAGAGCACGCACAUGAGAUAAUGAGCGAGGAGCCUGACAUGACCCAUGAAAUCAUGACUUGAGCCACAACCAAGAGUUGGCGGCUUAACUGACUGAGCCACCCAGGAGCCCCUUCCUGCUCAUUUUUAAUCAGAAGUGAGAAUAUAGCUGAUUUUGUUCUUUUCUCUAAUUUGUUCCCUUCUCUUGAUUACCAGAUAAAAUUUAGAUUUUCUAUAACCGGAAAUGAAAAUCCAUUGUUUGCAAACUUUAAUUUCAGACUUGACUCCAGCAAAGCACUUAAAGAGAUUCUUUUUAAAAGGUGCUGACAUUGAAUCAGAAGGUGAUCUCAUCUCGGUAGAGGCAGCAGAAUUAGACCCAUUAACUUCAAUUGAAAUUGAACAGCCACCCUGGGAAAGCUUGUCUCAGUGAAAAUGAGUCUAGUCAAAUUUAAGGCAAGGUUACCAAGGCGUCAGAACCGUCUCAGUCUAAUGGCCUUCCUGUUUAAAUACUUCAGCAGCUAGAAGAACGGAAGCAAUGUUUCUGUGCCUAUCAGCUCUUUCCAUUUCCUGCCAUGUGGAGAUUAGGGCACACCUGGUUCCCCUGCAGAGUACAAGAGACUCCCUUAGCGCUGAUUUAUUUAACUUCCUAAUUUCUACUAAACACAAUCAUCCCAGGAUCAGUGGAAGAAAUAAUUCGAAUCUUACAGAGGCAUGAGACUGAGCUGCAUGCACUGGACUGCUAGGGAGUAGAGCAAACCAUGAAACUGUUCAGAGAAUUUGGCCAAUUUUUGCUGUGGCAUCUUUACCUGGCUUGUUAUGUUCCGUACUUCUCUUAGUAAAAAAUUGUCAUCCCGUGAAGAUGAAACUCCAGAGAAAACAGAAAAGGAUGAAUUUGUGAGAUCAGAUUGGAAUAGAAAGCCUGCAGACCUGAAAAAAUGAUUCAAGGUAAAUGCAAAAGUCAAGGUUAUACUUUAGAAUCAGAUGCUCAGUCUGAAGAAUUAAGGAAAUCAAAGGAAAAUUUGGUUACGAUAAUAAUUACAGUAGUAUCAGUGUUUUGACCAGACAUAUUGCCUGUGAUUUGAAGGAUAUUUCAUGAGAAGAGUAUCAGUCACUCAUAGUAUGGCAGCACCUGACAAAAUAUAUUAUUAUAGCAAUUUUUUAUAUUUAUCUGAAAAAUAAAAAUAUACUCUAAUGAGGUUUAUGUAAUUCUCUGUAUAGCCAGUCACCAGCCACUUAUUUUUUUUUUUUGUGGAAUUUAGCAAUAUCUCUUAAAAUCACAUAUUAAAAAUACAAAUACAGGAAGGGGAUAAUUGAUGGAUUUAUCUCAAAGAUAUUUAUAUUUAGAGGAGGGAGUAAAAGCAAAAGAGCUACUUUAGGAAAUUAUUUAUGACCCAUCUAUUUUUACUUUACCAUGUCUAGCUAUAGAAAACCCCAUUAGAAAUACAAGUUAAAAAAAGAAAAGGUGGCUAGACUGAUCAGAAAAAUGAAUUUGUGUUGAAAUCAAAUGCUUAUUUUUAGAAUACUUUUUAAAUGUCAAUAUUAUCAAAUUAGUUAAUGUACAUUUUCAAAAUAAAGUUGUUCUAUGUGACUAAUAAUAAAAACAGUACCUCUUUUAUUAUCCCUUAUAAGUCCUUAUUUCUGAUACCUGGAGACAAUGGCAUUGACCCUUGAACUCUUCUAUCGACCUCCAAGUUGCUAAAUGCUACGUUUACACUGACAUUUUGUGGUUUUUCCAUGUUAGACCUUAUCCAUGGCCUCUUACUACAGAAGAUGGAAGUUUCCCUCCCUUGUCUCUGUACUCCCUAAAUAUUCUUUUUCCAUCGUUUCCAGAUAUGGUUUUAUCACAUGCAUUUUGGAAAGCUAGUAUUUAUUGUUCAUGUGGCUUCUAAUUGAGCUGUCACAUUGUAUAUUAUGAUUGCAUUUCUUUUGUGUAAUGUGCUUUUCCUUAAGUUAGUAUUUGUCCCCCUCAUGGACUUAGUUGCUGCUGAUAAAUUUCGAAAAUGUCCCAUUAAA